This 497-nucleotide ribosomal RNA is filed under the name uncultured bacterium. Its description in RNAcentral is "partial 16S ribosomal RNA". It matches the Rfam family "Bacterial small subunit ribosomal RNA", at positions 28 to 507 of the family's 1533-position model. The record is from RNAcentral.
GAUGAACGCUGGCGGCGUGCCUAAUACAUGCAAGUCGAGCGAACGGACGAGAAGCUUGCUUCUCUGAUGUUAGCGGCGGACGGGUGAGUAACACGUGGAUAACCUACCUAUAAGACUGGGAUAACUUCGGGAAACCGGAGCUAAUACCGGAUAAUAUUUUGAACCGCAUGGUUCAAAAGUGAAAGACGGUCUUGCUGUCACUUAUAGAUGGAUCCGCGCUGCAUUAGCUAGUUGGUAAGGUAACGGCUUACCAAGGCAACGAUGCAUAGCCGACCUGAGAGGGUGAUCGGCUACACUGGAACUGAGACACGGUCCAGACUCCUACGGGAGGCAGCAGUAGGGAAUCUUCCGCAAUGGGCGAAAGCCUGACGGAGCAACGCCGCGUGAGUGAUGAAGGUCUUCGGAUCGUAAGACUCUGUUAUUAGGGAAGAACAUAUGUGUAAGUAACUGUGCACAUCUUGACGGUACCUAAUCAGAAAGCCACGGCUAACUACGUG